This 519-nucleotide ribosomal RNA is filed under the name uncultured eukaryote. RNAcentral's name for it is "partial 18S ribosomal RNA". The stretch from base 18 to 315 matches the Rfam family "Eukaryotic small subunit ribosomal RNA", at positions 1178 to 1501 of the family's 1831-position model. The record is from RNAcentral.
GAGGGACCCCCCCAAGAGUGGCCUGUGCUUUAAUUUUUCUCAACACAGGGAAACUCACGCGGGGCUCAAACAAUGAGGAUUGAGAGAUUGAGAGUUCUUUCUCGAUUUUGUGGGGGGUGGGGUAUGGCCGCUUUUAGUUGGGGGAGGGCUUUGUCUGGUGAAUUCCGAUAACGAACACGACUCUCGCCUAUUAAAUACACGUUAUAUCUUUUUUAUAGCGUGGUUCUUAGAGGUACAAGGAGCUCCUAGCUGCCAGAGAUUGGACAAUAACUAGUCUGAGAUGCCCGUAGAUGUCCCGGGCUGUGGGCGCGCCACAAUGAACAUAGAAGCGAUCAUGACUACCUUCUCUGGACAAAAGGAGUGAAAACCCUCCCUUCACCUUCUUCUAGAGGGGGGGUGGCGAUUUUUUCAUUUCCCUCAGGAGCUUUAGUAUACAGAGGACCCCUGACUUGGCCUUGAUUCAUGCCCUGCCUAUCCACCACCUCUCCCGCUCUACCCCUACUUGGGAUCGUUUGUUAG